This 3274-nucleotide long non-coding RNA is filed under the name Daucus carota (carrot). RNAcentral's name for it is "long non-coding RNA (DCAR_LNC005464)". The record is from RNAcentral. Lineage: Eukaryota; Viridiplantae; Streptophyta; Magnoliopsida; Apiales; Apiaceae.
AGUAUAACCUCCAUUAUAUAACUAUAAUAGCAAAAACACAAACAUGAAAUAUUGUAUCUAAACUAAACCCAAAGUUAAGACACUAAAGGUAAAUUAUCAUUUCGCAAGACCUAAUUAAAUCAACAGUUAAAUGUCUAUAUGGGUAGCCUUGAGGGCAAAAGCUAGUAGGCGGAUAGUAAAAACCUUGCUCUGCAGUUGAGUGUUCACCGGUCCCACCUUUCAUAGACCCACCGGGUUAGCGUAAUGAGAUGCUAGAAGAUGUAUGAGUUGGUAUUACAUUUUUAAGUGAAUCCUGAUAAUAAAUCCACACAAAUAACGUUAUUAACUUAUUACAAAUCAAUUGGAAAAAGUUACCACUAAAGGCAAGCACCAAUUAAGAUCAUACACUUAAAAGAAUUAUUAUUGCACCAAACCAGACAAAGAACAUAUAAUUAAAUUUAGAAAGAAAUUAAAACAAAUAUGAUGUUGUCAAGACAGAGAAGAGAGAGCUAAUGCGCCACACAAAACAAAUUCUAUAAUGACACACCUUAUUCCUCUCAACCAAUGGAGCACGGACAUCUGAUUUCCGACGUCCAUCAAGUGAAUAUACCACUCAAACCUUCUCUAGCCUGCUCUGCUUUAGAAUCCACAAAAAUCAUGACAAAUCAAUAUCAUUGAAAGUUUAAAGAAAUCUACCUAAGUAGUAUAAUAAAAAUAACAUAAAAGAUUAUGAUCAAAAUCGCUUUUGUGAAAAAAUUAGAGUCAUGAGGAUUAUAUUUAUAUGUGUGUAACAAAAUGAAUUUUCACCUGGUCGUGCCACAUCAAGUUCUCCAACUUCUAUGUUUUUUAUGUUAAUCUAUAUGUGUUUAACUGCAGAAGUAGAUCAUGUUAAAGUCAUGAUCAAAAUUGAGAUAAGUAAAUUUGUUGUCCAGGACGUAUGAUUCCCACAUCUUCCCAGUAUCGUUUGAAACAAAGCCAUAUUUAUAUAAGAAAAGAUAAAUGUGUGUGUGAAUCGAGGUAAGUAGUGUGAAGAUAGUUUUCUCAAAUGACAAAUAUUAACCAUAUAACAAUUAGAUGCAUAAAACUUAAAAAGAGUGUACAGCCCAAGAAUCUAAAUCCAUUACUUAUCGACGCAAGAAAUAAUGAGGAUACUAACCUGUUCGAUCAUCGGACGACAAUCAAGAAUUAGAAAUCUGGAGAAGAGAUGAUUAGUAUCAGUUUCAAAUUGAUUUGAAAUCUAGAUCUUGUUAAACAUGACAAAUGAUUUGAAGUACAGGAUAAAAUUGAUCUUCAAGCAAUGGAUCAAAGGUUGCAGGCUCCCUUUCUUUUUAUCCUUUCUAUGGAAUGAUUGAUUUGUAGCAGAAGAUGAAGAUGCCUGGCAGUCGUCUCCGCCAAUAUUACGACCUGCCAAGCAAGUCAACACGAAAUCAUAUUAAUAGCGCACUAACCCCACAAUAUAUUUGCAGUGGAUAUGUGGUGAACACUCACAAAUAUUAUCUCUAUUGUCAAAAACUCAAAGUAUAGGCCUGACAAAAAAAAACUCAAAGUAUAAGGCUUUUGAUUAUCUUACCUAUUGUAUUUUUUUUAUUUUUAAUUCUUUGGCUUCUAUUAUCCUGAUUGUUACUUAUUUAGAAGGCUUUAAAUUGAUUCAGGAUAUUUUUGUUACUUAUUUAAUGUAGAAAGGUACAGAUAAUAUAUGUUUGCAUGAUGAUAUUUAUUGUGUCUAUACGAAUUCUAUGCAUCAUCUAAAUAUCUGCACGAGCUGCACUGAAGCUAAACACCAAAUUGUUUAAGUUAGAAUUCAGAACUUGGUCAUAAUGAUCUGUAAAAAUCACAGUAAUCAUUGUGUACUUUCUAUGGUAUCAUAAGGUUUUGCAGAUAUCCUGAAAUAAAAUAACAAAGCUAGCAAAAGAAAACCUAGGCGCAGAAAAGGAAACCACUUUUCUUUACUUGCUUAUUUCUGUUGGUAAUGUGCAGAGUUAGUACUUUUGCAAUUGCGGUAGGCAGCAACUUUUGCCGCAUUGUUUUCAGUGUAUAGGGAACCUAGAUAUGAGAAAACAUAAUCAAAUUGUAAAUGAUGAUGAGGUACGGAAGUUUUACCAAAUAAUAAUUAUUAUAUAUAAUGUAGUUAUCUAAGCUGAAUUGUCAGUUCUUUGUCAGUACUACAGCUGCUAAAAAUUGAAUACACAAGAAGUUUAUAGUAUUAAUUUUUGAAAAAACUCAAAGUAUAGGCCUGACAAAAAAAAACUCAAAGUAUAGGGAUUUUAAUUAUCUUACCUGUUAUAUUUUGUUUUAUUUUUAAUCAUGUGCCUUCUAUUAUCCUGAUUGUUACUCAUUUAAAAGGCUUUAAAUUGAUUCAGGCUCAUGGACAAACAGUUUCAUUAGUAGAGAGCAUUAUAAGUGAUGCAAGUGUCCCAGAAGGUGAUGUGAAAAGGAUUCGUUUAUGAAGUUCUUGAUCUUGUGCAUAAAUUCUUUCGCACAGAACUGUAAAAUACUAUGAAAAAACUAAUUUGUGUGAAAUAGUCGGGUAUGUGUAAUGUGUAUGGUUGUUAUAUGUAUGUUGCACUUAAGUAUAUGAACUUACCGACACUAUAAAAUUCUGGAAGGCUAUAAAUGCCCCUAAAGUUUAGCCUCUGGAGAAUCUUGAAUAUUUUGGUUUUCUGACGAUUGGAGAAAGUUAAACUUGGUUGUGGAAAUUGCUAAAAGCUACAUUUGCUUGUUAUCCGGACCUUGGAGAGGAAAGAAUGCAGAAUUUGAAGCUAGUUUAGAUAUAAAACAUUAAAACAGUAAGCAAAGUAGAUGUUGUAUAGUUAGAGAAUUGGCGGCAAACCAUUUAGAACCUAUGUCUCAUUUGAACCUGUGUUACAAUCCAUCCCAGAACCUACAUGUCAUUAACAUGGAUAUUUAGAAACAUUAAAAAUCUGAACAAAUGCGAAAAAUAAGGCAUAAGAGCUGUUCUGAAGAGGUUAGUAAUUGUAGAAUAAAGCAAAUUUCUACUGUUUCACCUUUAUUUGAUUCGCUUUCCUUGUAUUUUCAGUUGUGUGAGGAACUGGCCUUGGCGGAAGCUGCACCCAUCAAUAAUAUCAAAAAUAUACAAACCUUAUUUUACAUAAUUCUCUCUGUAGCACCAUACAUGUACAAUUAACUGCACAAAUAAAAAUAAUUUCUCAAAUUUAUAUAUGAAAAUAGUAUCAUAAUGAAAGAAUGCCAAAUUUAUUGAUUUAUUAACAUACCUACAAUAUACAAUUCACUACAGUAUCCAAGAGUGUUAGAGGAGCAUCAGCCUUUGUCCUCC